RNAcentral lists this ribosomal RNA (836 nucleotides) under uncultured bacterium. RNAcentral's name for it is "bacterial SSU rRNA". It matches the Rfam family "Bacterial small subunit ribosomal RNA", at positions 59 to 884 of the family's 1533-position model. The record is from RNAcentral.
AAGUCGAGCGGUAGCAGGAAGUGCUUGCACUUCGCUGACGAGCGGCGGACGGGUGCGUAACACGUAGGAAUCUGCCUGGUAGUGGGGGAUAGCCCGGAGAAAUCCGGAUUAAUACCGCAUACGCCUUACGAGGGAAAGGAGGGGACUCUUCGGAGCCUUUCGCUAUCAGAUGAGCCUGCGUCGGAUUAGCUGGUUGGUGGGGUAAAGGCCUACCAAGGCGACGAUCCGUAGCUGGUCUGAGAGGAUGAUCAGCCACACUGGGACUGAGACACGGCCCAGACUCCUACGGGAGGCAGCAGUGGGGAAUAUUGCACAAUGGGCGAAAGCCUGAUGCAGCCGUGCCGCGUGUGUGAAGAAGGCCCUAGGGUUGUAAAGCACUUUCAGUGGGGAGGAAAGGUUGAAGGUUAAUACCCUUCAGCUAUGACGUUACCCACAGAAGAAGCACCGGCUAACUCCGUGCCAGCAGCCGCGGUAAUACGGAGGGUGCGAGCGUUAAUCGGAAUUACUGGGCGUAAAGCGUGCGUAGGCGGCUACCUAAGUUGGAUGUGAAAGCCCCGGGCUCAACCUGGGAACUGCAUCCAAAACUGGGUGGCUAGAGUACGGGAGAGGGGUGUGGAAUUUCCUGUGUAGCGGUGAAAUGCGUAGAUAUAGGAAGGAACACCAGUGGCGAAGGCGACACUCUGGCCUGAUACUGACGCUGAGGUACGAAAGCGUGGGGAGCAAACAGGAUUAGAUACCCUGGUAGUCCACGCCGUAAACGAUGUCUACUAGUUGUCGGUUGUCUUGUACGACUGGUAACGCAGCUAACGCGAUAAGUAGACCGCCUGGGGAGUACG